This 279-nucleotide unclassified non-coding RNA is filed under the name plant metagenome. RNAcentral's name for it is "partial contains small subunit ribosomal RNA, internal transcribed spacer 1, and 5.8S ribosomal RNA". The record is from RNAcentral.
UUUCCGUAGGUGAACCUGCGGAAGGAUCAUUACCGAUCUAAUGCCCCUCCGCUCUGAUCUGGCGUCUUCUGUACCCCCCUCUUUUUAUUACCCCGCUGUUCCUCUAGCAAGUCUCCCCUCCUGGUACUCGCUCCGGCCAGCUCGCAUCUGCCAGAGGUCCUAAACUCUGCUUGGUUAUGUAGUCUGAAUACUAAAUUAUAGUUAAAACUUUCCACAACGAAUCCCUUGGUGCUGGCCUCGAUGAAUAACGCGCGAGCACCGCAGAGCACACGUCCACAC